AGUCACUGACAUUAGAUACCCGUGUAGUCCCAGCCGUAAACUAUGCGCGUUAGGUGUACUGGUGACCACGAGUCACCGGGGUGCCGAAGGGAAACCGUGAAACGUGCCGCCUGGGAAGUACGGUCGCAAGGCUGAAACUUAAAGGAAUUGGCGGGGGAGCACCGCAACGGGAGGAGCGUGCGGUUUAAUUGGAUUCAACACCGUAAACUCACCAGGGAAGACUGUUACAUGAAGGCCGAGAUGAAGACUCUGCUAGAUUUUCAG
RNAcentral lists this ribosomal RNA (264 nucleotides) under uncultured archaeon. RNAcentral's name for it is "partial 16S ribosomal RNA". It matches the Rfam family "Archaeal small subunit ribosomal RNA", at positions 717 to 982 of the family's 1478-position model. The record is from RNAcentral.